Molecule: ribosomal RNA, 408 nt
Filed under: bacterium enrichment culture clone ALO1_GLFRUDD03F8P6C
Lineage: Bacteria
Description: bacterial SSU rRNA
Rfam family: Bacterial small subunit ribosomal RNA
Source: RNAcentral
GAGUUUGAUCGUGGCUCAGAUUGAACGCUGGCGGCAUGCCUUACACAUGCAAGUCAAACGGCAGCACGGGAGCUUGCUCCUGGUGGCGAGUGGCGAACGGGUGAGUAAUGCAUCGGAACGUAUCCUGGAGUGGGGGAUAACGUAGCGAAAGUUACGCUAAUACCGCAUAUUCUGUGAGCAGGAAAGCGGGGGACCUUCGGGCCUCGCGCUCUUGGAGCGGCCGAUGUCGGAUUAGCUAGUUGGUGAGGUAAAGGCUCACCAAGGCGACGAUCCGUAGCAGGUCUGAGAGGAUGAUCUGCCACACUGGAACUGAGACACGGUCCAGACUCCUACGGGAGGCAGCAGUGGGGAAUUUUGGACAAUGGGGGCAACCCUGAUCCAGCCAUGCCGCGUGAGUGAAGAAGGCCU